GAUUAAGUUAUUAAGGGCGCACGGUGGAUGCCUUGGCACUAGAAGCCGAUGAAGGACGUUACUAACGACGAUAUGCUUUGGGGAGCUGUAAGUAAGCUUUGAUCCAGAGAUUUCCGAAUGGGGAAACCCAGCAUGAGUUAUGUCAUGUUAUCGAUAUGUGAAUACAUAGCAUAUCAGAAGGCACACCCGGAGAACUGAAACAUCUUAGUACCCGGAGGAAGAGAAAGAAAAUUCGAUUCCCUUAGUAGCGGCGAGCGAAA
Molecule: ribosomal RNA, 260 nt
Filed under: Staphylococcus aureus
Lineage: Bacteria; Bacillati; Bacillota; Bacilli; Caryophanales; Staphylococcaceae
Also listed under: 1 other name
Description: partial 23S ribosomal RNA
Rfam family: Bacterial large subunit ribosomal RNA
Source: RNAcentral